This 250-nucleotide ribosomal RNA is filed under the name uncultured bacterium. Its description in RNAcentral is "partial 16S ribosomal RNA". It matches the Rfam family "Bacterial small subunit ribosomal RNA", at positions 355 to 602 of the family's 1533-position model. The record is from RNAcentral.
GGAUGAAUAUUGGACAAUGGGCGCAAGCCUGAUCCAGCCAUGCCGCGUGCAGGAUGACGGUCCUAUGGAUUGUAAACUGCUUUUAUACGAGAAGAAACACUCCAACGUGUUGGAGCUUGACGGUAUCGUAAGAAUAAGGAUCGGCUAACUCCGUGCCAGCAGCCGCGGUAAUACGGAGGAUCCAAGCGUUAUCCGGAAUCAUUGGGUUUAAAGGGUCCGUAGGCGGUUUAGUAAGUCAGUGGUGAAAGCC